GGCAUGGAUUAGGCAUGCAAGUCGAGCGAUACCUUUUCUUGAGAAAAAAUGCAGUAGCAAUACUGCAGGUUUUCGAAGGAUUUGGAUAUAGCGGCAGAAGGGUGAGUAACACGUGAGUAACUUACCCCUAAUAGAAGGAUAGCUUCGCGAAAGUGGAGGUAAUACUUCGUGUGUCUCGUUUUCAUAAGGAGACGAGGUAGAGGCGCCCGCAAGGGUGUCGAUUAGGGAUGGACUCGCGUUCUAUCAGCUAGUUGGUAGGGUAAUGGCCUACCAAGGCGAUGACGGAUAGCUGGUCAAGAGGAUGGUCAGCCACAUUGGGACUGAGACACUGCCCAGACUCCUACGGGAGGCUGCAGUCGAGAAUCUUUAGCAAUGGGCGAAAGCCUGACUAUGCGACGUCGCGUGGAGGAUGAAUGCCUUCGGGUUGUAAACUCCUUUCGAUUAGGAAGAAAAAGUUCGUCCUAAUACGGCGAAAAUUGACGUUACUGAUGGAAGAAGCCACGGCCAACUCCGUGCCAGCAGCCGCGGUAAUACGGAGGUAGCGAGCGUUACUCGGAUUCAUUGGGUGUAAAGGGCAGGUAGGUGUCUUAGCAAGUUUCAGGUGAAAUCCUUCAACUCAAUUGAAGAAGUGCCUGAAAAACUGUUAGGAUUGAGGUUGGCAGAAGAGAGCGGAACUCCCGGUGUAAGAGUGAAAUCUGUAGAGAUCGGGAGGAACACCGGUGGCGAAGGCGGCUCUCUAGGUCAAACCCGACACUGAACUGCGAAAGCUAGGGUAGCGAACAGGAUUAGAUACCCUGGUAGUCCUAGCCGUAAACGAUGUACACUAGGUGUUUUACUAUUAAGUAGAGUGCCGCAGUUAACACAUUAAGUGUACCACCUGGGGACUACGGCCGCAAGGCUAAAACUCAAAGGAAUAGACGGGGGCUCACACAAGCGGUGG
RNAcentral lists this ribosomal RNA (940 nucleotides) under uncultured bacterium. Its description in RNAcentral is "bacterial SSU rRNA". It matches the Rfam family "Bacterial small subunit ribosomal RNA", at positions 41 to 935 of the family's 1533-position model. The record is from RNAcentral.